CUCCCUCUUCUUCUUCUUCCUUCGUUUCAGCAGAACAGGGGAUCUUGGAGUCCCCUUCAUCUUCCCCGACUCCAAAGGAGUCUUGCCCAGAGAAGGUGGCCGGAGGUGCGGUCCACGGUGACGCAUCCGAAGGUCCCUCAAUCAGCGGCCGACGGCAACUACAGUCGCCGGAAAAAUUCAAAGAAAAACCGACGAACAGAGGAUUUCAGAUCCGAUUUAUCCCAAAAAAUUCAACAAGUAAAUCAUGGCUGCAAGGGUUGAGAAAGAAGGAGAGAAGGGUCGAACAACUAUUUCCAACCUUAUCUUCUGUGGUCAAGAUUCUGAAAUCAAUGGAGGAAGAUAGACGGAGAGAGAAGAAGG
Molecule: long non-coding RNA, 360 nt
Filed under: Elaeis guineensis (African oil palm)
Lineage: Eukaryota; Viridiplantae; Streptophyta; Magnoliopsida; Arecales; Arecaceae
Description: long non-coding RNA (EGUI_LNC039586)
Source: RNAcentral